UUAUUUCUUAGAAACAAACAGAAAGAAAAAAAAAAGAAAAACUCUGCUAGGGUUUCAUCCUUAACCCUUGAACGCUGCCGCCAGUCUGCCACAUCUCCGCCGCGAUUACACCGCCAACGGUGGUCGGAGCUGUAGCCCUAGGGGCUUUUUAGCUCCUCCUCGCGCGGAUCUGAAGGCUUUUCGAGGUAAACCCUCUCCUUUCUCUUUUGUUUAUACACGAUUCAAAAAUAAAAAGAAAACGGUAGAGAAAACCGAAUAAGAAAAAAGAAAAGAUCACCUAUUUUGAAACUGUUUUUUUUAUUUCCUUUUCUUUUAAAUAUUUUUUUGAUACAAUCUUUGUUUUCUCUCUGUGUGUGAGGGUCCCCUUUUACAAUAUUCCUAAUGGAUCUUUUUAUAGCCAGAUUCACAGAAGAAAAUAGAAAUAAAAAUCGACCCCUAAAACCAAUUUGUUCCUCUUUUUUCCUAUUUCGCUGCCAUUGUUUGUUAUCUGUUUGUGUCUGUCUUUUGUUGCUUUGUGUGUUGCAGGUACGGAGGAGUCUCGUUGGCAGUACAGAGAUGCACGCAAGGGCAGAGACUCGGCACGCGCGUAAAAGGGUCUCGCGUGGGGGAGGAGCGUCGUGCUGGAGGCUGCUGGAGCGGCGGCUGAGAUCUUAGAAACCCUAGGGUUUCGGUUUUGGGCCAGGGGUAGUCAGGCUAGGGUUUAGGCUAGUCGGGCUUGGUGUAGUUGGGUAUUAGAUUAAAACGAUUUGGGACAUGCUGGGCCCAUGUAUUUGGACUUUGGACUUUUAAAUGUUGAUUUGGUUUAUUAUUAUUACAGGCCGGACAAAUAUUGGGCCUUACAGAUAGUAUUUUACAUGUGAAUAUUAUGUAUGGCUUAUUUGGUUG
RNAcentral lists this long non-coding RNA (885 nucleotides) under Gossypium barbadense (sea-island cotton). Its description in RNAcentral is "long non-coding RNA (GBAR_LNC013744)". Lineage: Eukaryota; Viridiplantae; Streptophyta; Magnoliopsida; Malvales; Malvaceae. The record is from RNAcentral.